AUUGAACGCUGGCGGCAUGCCUAACACAUGCAAGUCGAACGGAGGUAGGGGCAACUCUACUUCAGUGGCGGACGGGUGAGGAAUGCGUCGGAAUCUACCCUAUGGUGGGGGAUAACACAGGGAAACUUGUGCUAAUACCGCAUGAUGUCGAGAGACCAAAGCAGGGGACCGCAAGGCCUUGCGCGAUAGGAUGAGCCGACGCCCGAUUAGCUAGUUGGUAGGGUAAAGGCCUACCAAGGCGACGAUCGGUAGCUGGUCUGAGAGGAUGAUCAGCCACACUGGGACUGAGACACGGCCCAGACUCCUACGGGAGGCAGCAGUGGGGAAUAUUGGACAAUGGGCGCAAGCCUGAUCCAGCAAUGCCGCGUGUGUGAAGAAGGCCUGCGGGUUGUAAAGCACUUUUGUUGGGGAAGAAACCGGCCGGGUUAAUACCCUGGUUGAAUGACGGUACCCAAAGAAUAAGCACCGGCUAACUUCGUGCCAGCAGCCGCGGUAAAGUCG
This 501-nucleotide ribosomal RNA is filed under the name uncultured bacterium. RNAcentral describes it as "bacterial SSU rRNA". It matches the Rfam family "Bacterial small subunit ribosomal RNA", at positions 29 to 527 of the family's 1533-position model. The record is from RNAcentral.